Molecule: ribosomal RNA, 267 nt
Filed under: uncultured bacterium
Lineage: Bacteria
Description: partial 16S ribosomal RNA
Rfam family: Bacterial small subunit ribosomal RNA
Source: RNAcentral
UGUCGGCGACCGGCGCACGGGUGCGUAACGCGUAUGCAACCUACCCAUUACAGGGGGAUAACACUGAGAAAUCGGUACUAAUACCCCAUAACAUCCAGGGAGGCAUCUUCUUGGGUUGAAAACUCCGGUGGUAAUGGAUGGGCAUGCGUUGUAUUAGUUAGUUGGUGGGGUAACGGCUCACCAAGACAACGAUACAUAGGGGGACUGAGAGGUUAACCCCCCACAUUGGUGCUGAGACACGGACCAAACUCCUACGGGAGGCAGCAG